GGGGAUGUAGCUCAGUGGUAGAGCGCAUGCUUUGCAUGCAUGCGGUCCUGGGCUCGAUCCCCAGCAUCUCCA
Syngnathus typhle (broad-nosed pipefish) is the source of this 72-nucleotide non-coding RNA. The record is from the annotation of a RefSeq genome assembly. NCBI's taxonomy places the organism in Eukaryota, Metazoa, Chordata, Actinopteri, Syngnathiformes, Syngnathidae.